This is a long non-coding RNA of Acanthopagrus latus (yellowfin seabream), 611 nucleotides long. RefSeq lists it as uncharacterized. The transcript has 2 exons. NCBI's taxonomy places the organism in Eukaryota, Metazoa, Chordata, Actinopteri, Spariformes, Sparidae. The record is from RefSeq and is a predicted model, not a curated record.
CUUAGCAUUUGCAUAUACAGCCUAUGCCUACGGCCGGCUCUGGCCUACAGAUUGUUGAGUUCAGCGGAGCAUGCUCUUUGUUAACACCCCGAGACACUUCCAAGUCAUAGGUGUGGCCAGAGCCGUGUCUUGCUAUUUGCUGAUUAUGUGGUUGCAUAGGGCCUCCGCACCACUAGGAGGCCCCCUCAAGAUGUAAGUCCAGCCUCAAUAUCUGAGGAGUGACCCACAGAAAAAAAGUUUUGCAAAGUACCUGGCACUUAUUUUUUUAGUACCUCUGCUGAGGUUCCAAGCGAGCCAAAGUGAUACGUAUGCCUGCUGGCUGGUCUCUACUGCGCUACGUUGCUAUGACAACCAGUACUACUAAGCGAGGAGAAGCGAAGCAGGCUGUGCUGAGCUGCUGGUACCGGUCAUUCAUGGCAUGGCAUCAAAACCAACCUAUUCAUCUGGUUCAGAACAAAAGAAAAAAAGAAGAAACGAAUAAAGGAGCAAUUCUGAAAUAUUUUGGAGCCAUGUACCAGGAAGCAACACGGCUGCCUUCAGCACCACCUGACCAGGAUGUUUAAGUUUAAAAAUGUUUCACAAUUUAAAAUAAAACAUUUUGAGGAACACUG